This 406-nucleotide ribosomal RNA is filed under the name uncultured bacterium. RNAcentral's name for it is "partial 16S ribosomal RNA". It matches the Rfam family "Bacterial small subunit ribosomal RNA", at positions 29 to 526 of the family's 1533-position model. The record is from RNAcentral.
AUUGAACGCUGGCGGCAGGCCUAACACAUGCAAGUCGAACGAGUGGCGGACGGGUGCGUAAUGUCUGGGCAACUGCCUGAUGGAGGGGGAUAACUACUGGAAACGGUAUCUAAUACCGCAUACCAUCGGAUGUGCCCAGAUGGGAUUAGCUAGUAGGUGGGGUAAAGGCUCACCUAGGGGACGAUCCCUAGCUGGUCUGAGAGGAUGACCAGCAACAGUGGGACGGAGACACGGUCAAGACUCCUACGGGAGGAAGCAGUGGGGAAUAGUGAACAAUGGGCGCAAGCCGGAUGCAGCCAUGCGGCGUGUAUGAAGAAGGCCUUCGGGUUGUAAAGUAAUUUCAGCGGGGAGGCGGUACCCGCAGAAGAAGCACCGGCUAACUCCGUGCCAGCAGCCGCGGUAAUUC